This is a long non-coding RNA of Bactrocera neohumeralis, 498 nucleotides long. RefSeq lists it as uncharacterized. The transcript is spliced from 3 exons. Lineage: Eukaryota; Metazoa; Arthropoda; Insecta; Diptera; Tephritidae. The record is from RefSeq and is a predicted model, not a curated record.
UUUUAAUGGAAGAGGCGGAAUUUGAGGCUCCAACUGCGCAAUUGUUUUAUAAACGAUUUUUACAUAACUCGCAGUCGGAUGUCUCAUGGGAUCUGAUGCGGUUGACGGUCCGACAUUUGAAGGCGCAGUACCGUAAAGCCAAUGACUAGCUCGCGUCAACGGGUGCAGGACUACAAGAUGAAGCUGACGGCAGAACCAUCGAAGCAAAAAUUGCUAAAAUGUCUCCAUACUACGACCAGCAGAGGGAAAUAUUUGAAAAGCGGUUGCCGGCCACGCAACCGUUACUGGUUGAAAGCAACCUUCCUUCGCCUCAGUUAUGUCCAGUUAGUACUGCACCAGAAUAGUUAUAGCUAACUGCAUUUCUACUGAAAAUUGCCUAAUGGAUUGAGCGUUGUUAAACUGUGCACUAUCUUUGAUCAAGGACAACAGCAACGCAAAUUUAUCUCUUGAGACUCGGAGCAUUUGUUGGUAACGUCCUUCGUCUAAAUAGUCAAGAAC